GCUAAUACAUGCUUAAAAUCCCGACUUCGGAAGGGAUGUAUUUUAUUAGAUUAAAAACCAAUGCCCUUCGGGGCUCACUGGUGAUUUCAUAAUAACUUCUCGAAUCGCAUGGCCUUGUGCCGGCGAUGGUUCAUUCAAAUUUUCUGCCCCUAUCAACUUUCGACGGCUGGGUCUUGGCCAGCCGUGGUUACAACGGGUAACGGAGGGUUAGGGCUUGACCCCGGAGAAGGAGCCUGAGAAACGGCUACUACAUCCAAGGAAGGCAGCAGGCGCGCAAAUUACCCAAUCCCGAUACGGGGAGGUAGUGACAAUAAAUACUGAUACAGGGCUCUUUUGGGUCUUGUAAUUGGAAUGAGUACAAUUUAAAUCCCUUAACGAGGAACAAUUGGAGGGCAAGUCUGGUGCCAGCAGCCGCGGUAAUUCCAGCUCCAAUAGCGUAUAUUAAAGUUGUUGCAGUUAAAAAGCUCGUAGUUGAACCUUGGGCCUGGCUGGCCGGUCUGCCUCACCGCAUGCACUGGUCCGGCCGGGCCUUUCCCUCUGGGGAGCCGCAUGCCCUUCACUGGGUGUGUCGGGGAACCAGGACUUUUACUGUGAAAAAAUUAGAGUGUUCAAAGCAGGCCUAUGCUCGAAUACAUUAGCAUGGAAUAAUAGAAUAGGACGUUGCGGUUCUAUUUUGUUGGUUUCUAGGACCGCCGUAAUGAUUAAUAGGGACAGUCGGGGGCAUCAGUAUUCAAUCGUCAGAGGUGAAAUUCUUGGAUCGAUUGAAGACUAACUACUGCGAAAGCAUUUGCCAAGGAUGUUUUCAUUAAUCAGGAACGAAAGUUAGGGGAUCGAAAACGAUCAGAUACCGUUGUAGUCUUAACCAUAAACUAUGCCGACUAGGGAUCGGGCGAUGUUUUUCUUUGACUCGCUCGGC
RNAcentral lists this ribosomal RNA (916 nucleotides) under Microthia sp. Mnep1. RNAcentral describes it as "SSU rRNA". It matches the Rfam family "Eukaryotic small subunit ribosomal RNA", at positions 163 to 1084 of the family's 1831-position model. The record is from RNAcentral. Lineage: Eukaryota; Fungi; Ascomycota; Sordariomycetes; Diaporthales; Cryphonectriaceae.